GUUCGGAUUGUAGUCUGCAACCCGACUACAUGAAGCUGGAAUCGCUAGUAAUCGCGGAUCAGAAUGCCGCGGUGAAUACGUUCCCGGGUCUUGUACACACCGCCCGUCACACCAUGGGAGUCGGAAAUGCCCGAAGUCUGUGACCCAACCUUAGGGAGGGAGCAGCCGAAGGCAGGUCGGAUGACUGGGGUGAAGUCGUAACAAGGUACC
This 210-nucleotide ribosomal RNA is filed under the name uncultured bacterium. RNAcentral describes it as "partial 16S ribosomal RNA". It matches the Rfam family "Bacterial small subunit ribosomal RNA", at positions 1291 to 1500 of the family's 1533-position model. The record is from RNAcentral.